AGUAACGGCGAGUGAAGCGGCAACAGCUCAAAUUUGAAAUCUGGCCCCUCCGGGCCCGAGUUGUAGUUUGCAGAGGAUGCUUUUGGCGAGGCGCCGCCCGAGUUCCCUGGAACGGGACGCCACAGAGGGUGAGAGCCCCGUCUGGCUGGCCGCCGAGCCUCUGUAAAGCUCCUUCGACGAGUCGAGUAGUUUGGGAAUGCUGCUCAAAAUGGGAGGUAUAUGUCUUCUAAAGCUAAAUACUGGCCAGAGACCGAUAGCGCACAAGUAGAGUGAUCGAAAGAUGAAAAGCACCUUGAAAAGAGGGUUAAACAGUACGUGAAAUUGUUGAAAGGGAAGCGCUCGCGACCAGACUUGGCCGCGGCGGAUCAUCCGGGGUUCUCCCCGGUGCACUUCGCCGCGUCCAGGCCAGCAUCAGUUCGCCGCGGGGGACAAAGGCGUCGGGAACGUGGCUCCCCCGGGAGUGUUAUAGCCCGUCGCGCAAUACCCUGCGGUGGACUGAGGACCGCGCAUCUGCAAGGAUGCUGGCGUAAUGGUCACCAGCGACCCGUCUUGAAACACGGACCAAGGAGUCGUCUUCGUAUGCGAGUGUUCGGGUGUCAAACCCCUACGCGGAAUGAAAGUGAACGCAGGUGAGAGCUUCGGCGCAUCAUCGACCGAUCCUGAUGUUCU
This 669-nucleotide ribosomal RNA is filed under the name Trichoderma avellaneum. RNAcentral describes it as "LSU rRNA". It matches the Rfam family "Eukaryotic large subunit ribosomal RNA", at positions 82 to 780 of the family's 3401-position model. Lineage: Eukaryota; Fungi; Ascomycota; Sordariomycetes; Hypocreales; Hypocreaceae. The record is from RNAcentral.